ACCACACCUGGCCCUCUUGUGGUCUUAAAGGAAAGGGGAGGAGGGCAGGUGAAGAACAGAAAUGCCACAUGUCAUAUUUAGUAGGACACCAGCAAGUGGAGCCAUGCUGCAGCUUCAUUUUCCCCAAAGCUGAAACUCGACUUUAUUAGGAUUUCACCUACAACUCCUGUGCCCUGUGUUUAAAGUCAAAGGCAAAUGACAACAACCCAAUCCAGGCAAGACUGCUAAAGGCUUAGACCCUUCAAGAAUGAAGGUUUGGGUGAUCCCACCAGUCAGGAGGCCAUGACCCGCUGAGGUGCUUGCUGAGGACAAAGGAAAUGAGGAAUGGGUGGUGGCAGGCUCCCGUCAUCAGUGUGGAUGGCAGCCAUGCCUGCAGCUACUCUACCUUCCCCUGAUCCUCCUUCAGCUUCUCCAACUCCUGGGCCAGAUGGGGCAGCUCCAUGACAAUGGGCACUGGCUUCUUCAGGACAUCCAGACCCUCAAGGUCAGGGGCAGUGAGACUGACACAGGUUCCAGUUCAUGCUGCUCGGUUCCAGCUUGUGCUUGCAGGUUACAGGCUGUCCUGCUCUUCUCUAUUUAUAUCCAUUUCCCUCCUAACCACCUGCCCUGUGAACUUAACUCUCUAGCAUCAGACAUCCCAUCCAGGAGGAGAACAUACACACAGUUGUUUAACUAGCCUCACAAUUACUAAGAUCAAAUUUGCACAACAAAUACACACACACACAGAGAAAUAUGUAUCCUAAUGGGUCUGCCUCUCUGAUUAAACCCUUAAUUGAUACACUCAUUCUGUGGACAUCAUUCAGUCCUUUUUCUCCAGCCACUCCGUCCUUGCUCAGUGAACUCACAAACAAAGGGGACAUAGCAGCAGCAAUAGAAGGGAUGCAAGGGCUUAGUAGCCUGGUCUUCUACCCUCCAAGCCUGAACUGACAACAGAUCACAGCCCAUACUGAGGCCCUAAUAUGGCACUAUUCCCCAAGAGGACCAAUCAGCUGCCUGGUGGCAGGUUAAUUACAUCAGGUCACCUCCAUUAUGAAAGAGGAAGUGCUUUGUACUUGCUGGAAUAGACACUUACUAUGGACAUGAAUUUUCCUUCCCUACCCACAAUACUUCUGCCAGAGCCACAGUAAGUGGACUUACAGAAUGCCCUACCCACCGUCAAGGU
This 1162-nucleotide long non-coding RNA is filed under the name Homo sapiens (human). Its description in RNAcentral is "HSALNT0343754". The record is from RNAcentral. Lineage: Eukaryota; Metazoa; Chordata; Mammalia; Primates; Hominidae.